UUUUUCUUUUCUUUCUUUUGUUUUUCUUUUGGUGUUAACAGUAUCACAUGAGCCAAGAUUGUCAUGAAACUAUUUGGAUACUGUACUCUGGUUCCUUCAUCUCCUCCAGCUGCAUCAGCCUAAAUUGUCCUAGAGCCUCUGCCAUGAACCCGGGGAUAGAUGAGGAAAGAAAUUUCUCCUCCUUCACAGUAUCAAGUGCCAGGCCAGGUCACUUUGUCCAAGGCUCACUGUGAAGAAAGAGUAAUGUUCAAGUUUGGCAGGAGGAAGGACCCUAAUGAAGAGGUUUAUCUGAUUGGUUUACCGGAGUCUUAUGUGGGAUGAAUAGCUUCAGCCUUUGCGCUUCCACCUUUUUGCCGUCCACUCCAAUCAAGAACUGGGGCCCUCGCAACUCUCUCAGUUCUGAAACAAAUUAAAUCUCAGUGACAGGCUC
Molecule: non-coding RNA, 430 nt
Filed under: Pongo abelii (Sumatran orangutan)
Lineage: Eukaryota; Metazoa; Chordata; Mammalia; Primates; Hominidae
Source: RNAcentral